This 62-nucleotide transfer RNA is filed under the name Polionemobius taprobanensis. RNAcentral's name for it is "tRNA-Phe". Lineage: Eukaryota; Metazoa; Arthropoda; Insecta; Orthoptera; Trigonidiidae. The record is from RNAcentral.
AUUUAAAUAGCUUAUGAGAGCGUAAUAUUGAAGAUAUUAAGGAGAUUAUAAAUCUUUAAAUA